AAAUAAGAAGCAAUAAUGCAUUUAGUUUCGACCUAAAAGUUAGACUUAAAAAUCCUUAUUUU
Molecule: transfer RNA, 62 nt
Filed under: Podontia lutea
Lineage: Eukaryota; Metazoa; Arthropoda; Insecta; Coleoptera; Chrysomelidae
Description: tRNA-Arg
Source: RNAcentral